UAGGGAAUCUUCCGCAAUGGGCGAAAGCCUGACGGAGCAACGCCGCGUGAGUGAUGAAGGUCUUCGGAUCGUAAAACUCUGUUAUUAGGGAAGAACAAAUGUGUAAGUAACUAUGCACAUCUUGACGGUACCUAAUCAGAAAGCCACGGCUAACUACGUGCCAGCAGCCGCGGUAAUACGUAGGUGGCAAGCGUUGUCCGGAUUUAUUGGGCGUAAAGCGAGCGCAGGCGGUCAAUUAAGUCUGAUGUGAAAGCCCCCGGCUCAACCGGGGAGGGUCAUUGGAAACUGGUUGACUUGAGUGCAGAAGAGGAGAGUGGAAUUCCAUGUGUAGCGGUGAAAUGCGUAGAUAUAUGGGGGAACACCAGUGGCGAAGGCGACUCUCUGGUCUGUAACUGACGCUGUGGCUCGAAAGCGUGGGUAGCAAACAGG
RNAcentral lists this ribosomal RNA (429 nucleotides) under Bacteroidota bacterium. RNAcentral describes it as "Bacteroidetes bacterium partial 16S ribosomal RNA". It matches the Rfam family "Bacterial small subunit ribosomal RNA", at positions 355 to 776 of the family's 1533-position model. The record is from RNAcentral. Lineage: Bacteria; Pseudomonadati; Bacteroidota.